Molecule: long non-coding RNA, 2985 nt
Organism: Ictalurus furcatus (blue catfish)
Lineage: Eukaryota; Metazoa; Chordata; Actinopteri; Siluriformes; Ictaluridae
Exons: 4
Source: RefSeq, a predicted model, not a curated record
GAAAAAAAAAAAGAGAGGCUAUUGAGGGAAUGCCCGUCUAUAGCUCUAAUAGUAUAAGUGAUACCAGGAAGUAGCUUGUCUCCAAGAAAUUCCACAUCAACUGUAAAUAAUAGACUGCUGUGGUAUAAGAUGAAAACACUUCAAGAUGUGCUGUUAUUGCAAAAUAAAACUGGAACGUUCUUACACAAGAUAAAGUGAGCUGAAGAACUGUAGAUAUUGGGACCCGGACAGAAACUGUAAACAAAUCAUUCUCCAGCAGGACUGAUCCUUACCUUCAUAACAUCUGGGCAUUUUUUUAGUUUUUUGCCACAGGGAGCGUAGUAGGCCACUUCUCCCUGCACACGCCCACAGAUAUUCCUGAUGCGGGUCUCUCUUUUCCACCUAGAAAGUAUUGAAUUGGUUCAGAACUGUACCCAUGACACUACUGACAUGCACACACACUGUAAGUAAUCACAAUAAUUUGUCUUGUUCUACCUGCAUAGACCGUCUUAGUGAAGUUGUCAGAUUCACUCACUACAAAAGCCUGGCACAACUCAGACCAGUUAUUCAAAUGAGAUGCAGCAGGCUUGGCCAGCUGUGAAUCACACACUGGAACACUCCAGAGACCUGCGGUCACUGUGUCUGAGUGCCAACAGACUCCAUCAUGGGAGGAAGUACGGAUGGACGGGUGGAGGAUGGGCAGAAGCCAGAAACAGUGGCGCUUUCUUCUUUUCUCCUCUGGACAGCUCUUUUACAGUGACUGGAUCUCUUACCCAUGUUCGAGAGGUCUACGCAGUGCCUGCUCAUCGGUCACUCUUCUUCUCUUUGCUUAAAGUGGAAGAGAACCACCAGUAAUGAGAGCUCAUAAACUCACAAAGAAGGCUGUUUUGAGGGUAUUUUAUCACCUGGGGGUGUGACCACACAUGAUGAGCCUGGGGUGCUGUGAUUGGUCGGAUCCCAAGAUCUUUUCAAAGUUUGCAAAACCUGAGCAGGUUCAUGGAUUUGCAGGUUAAGUGAACUGGAGCUGCUGAUCUUGCCAGUAGAAGGGUCUGCCAAAGGGUUUGGGCUUUUAGUGAGUUUAAGUGGCAUGCUCUCGGUGUGGCUCUCUGUGUCAGUAUCCAUUUCUUCAUCUUUACUAUCCUCAUCAUCAUUAUCAGAGUCAGUGUCCAGGGUACUGCCAGAGCCUACAGAGAAUUAAGGAACUUCCCCCGAAUCAUCAGAGUCUUUGCUGCUGGGAAUGUCAGACUCCAUUUCCCUGAACAUUUUUCCCUGGAGCAGUGAUCCUGCGCUCACCCUGCAGGACUCUCGCUGUGUAGAGGCUUGGUCUGAGGCAGGAGGUCCAGGAUAAGACUGUCUGGCUCCUGUGCUCAGGUUGAUGGGGGUGUUAAAGCAGGGACUGGUGGCUGCUAGUAAAGGCUUAUCUGGGGUUUUAGAGCUGUCAGAUCGAGAUUUGGUAAUAAGUGCCAGGGGUGCAUCCUGCUCAGUACUCUGAACAACUCCAUUAAAAUUAGGGGAGUUCUUCAGCAGGGUGGAGGUGAGAAACAGAUUGGAGUGCUUGGGAUUGGGGGAAUUGAGCUUAGGACUACAUUGAGGUGAUAGUGAGGAGGAUGACGCACUUUUCUUCAGGGAUUUACUUGCUUCUUGGUGGUCCUUUGCCUGCGAGGGGAAACGAUGUACACAACAUUUAAAAACAGAGCAAGUAUGUUAACUAAUUCAUGUUACUUUUAUUAAAUGGAAAUGAUGGAAGCACUGCCAGAAAGAACUUUCUUUUAUUACAAAGUUAAUAGCGUAAUAUAACUACAAAUGUAAUAAAAUAACGACUGUUUCUAUAAGGGAUUACAUUUUGAGAUUAAAUUUUCUUGUGUGCUCCAAAAUACAUAUUUAAUGCUUUGGAAAAAUUUCAAAAUGAUUAUAUGUUGAAUAAUGUUUAUUUUAAAUGGCUUUGUGCCCUUAAGUUUCCAAUUUCCUGGCAAAAAUAAAAAUGUACUGAUCUAAUAAAAUACGUGAAUACAUGAUAUUGUUGUGCAAUGUUCAUUAUUGUAUAAUUAUGAGACCUAAGAUUGCUAAAACGGGCAACUCUGCUGCAACUACAAUGCUCCGUCAUAACGCACUAAGGGUAUCUGUACUCAAAUAAUGUCUAUUUGUACUUAUUCUGGCACAGGAAAAAUUACAAAGUAUAGAAUAUUUUUAGAAUCCACAUUAUAGAAGUAUUUCAACAAUUAGAAUAAUACAGUCACAGGCAGACAAAGAUAUUAACUAACAACAGUAUUUACUGAGUUUCUAGCUAAUUCUAGCCAUUUUCAACAACCCUGUCUUGCGUAAGUUUUCCUGUAUUACUCAACAUAUGUGUACAUUGAAAAGAGUUAUGCUCGAAAUGGAUCCAUUACUCCGUUGAGUACUAGCACAUGCUUGCAAUCACCACCUCAGCAUAGGCCAUAUAAAUGCCACCUUCGUAACACCUUCAUAUCCAAAUAGCUUGCCACAUGGGAGGCAGGUAUGACUGUCCUUGUCUGUGUUUACAGGUCAGUGAAUUCUUAAUAAAAUGCAUUUCCUCAUCCUUUUGGAUUCCUACAUGUUUGUAAUUGGGAAAAUAUCAUUGCCAAGGUUACAAGGAUAGCUAACUAGAAACUAGCAGGCAAUCCUGCUGGCACAAGCAGGCCUACGACCUACCCAUUAUGAAACCUUGGUAUUUAUAUCCUUUCCUUACCACAGUAGUCUGCUCUGGAAUUACCAUGGCUGGAGAUCCACAACCCAUAUAUUUAUUAGACCUACUGGGAAAUUGUAGCUUGGUCACACAAAUGCAAGGAUUGUGGAUCCAGUUCCAGUGUAGUUGUAGAUGGCCCAGUGGGGGAUGAAAUUCCACAUGCGUACAACACCCUGGCCUAGGGUCUUUAAGGGCUAAGCUAAAGGACUUCCUCUCCAUUGCUCAUGGGACUGUGCCACUGAUCUCCAGGUUCUACUCUGCUGCCCUUCUGAGUCAGCUCUAAUCUGGCAAGGAAACUGCUG